ACUUUUUUAGUAUAAAAAAUAUAUUUGACUUCCAAUCAAAAGAUCUUUAAACAUAAGAAAAAGUA
RNAcentral lists this transfer RNA (65 nucleotides) under Parathyginus sp. RNAcentral describes it as "tRNA-Gly". Lineage: Eukaryota; Metazoa; Arthropoda; Insecta; Hemiptera; Heterogastridae. The record is from RNAcentral.